Oryza glaberrima (African rice) is the source of this 189-nucleotide non-coding RNA. The record is from Rfam. Lineage: Eukaryota; Viridiplantae; Streptophyta; Magnoliopsida; Poales; Poaceae.
UUUAAGCGUAAGGUUUCUUUGUCCAAUGUUUAAUCAUCCAUCUUUGUUAAAAAUUAUUUUAUGAUAAGUAUUUUAUUAUUAGAUGAUAAAACAUAAAUAAUACUUUAUGUGUGACUUAUUCCUUUUAUAAUUUUUAAAAUAUGAUGGUUGAUCAAACGUUGGACACAGAAAUCUAUAAAUACAUGACCG